GAGUUCAAGAGUACGUGAAACCGUUCAGGGGUAAACGGGAGAAAUCCUGAAUUCGAAGGGGAUUGGAUUCAAUUCCGCCCGGUUGUUCAGGCCACCUGGCCCCACCAGAUGGCGCUGGUCGCCCACAGCGGUUCAUUUCGCUCGUGGUGUCGUUCCUGGCGAUCACUCGGUGGGGUGGUGUUACUCUGGCACCGGAGGAGUGCACUUCCUCCCUUGUAGAAACGUCGCGACCCGUUGGGUGCCGGUCUAAGGCCCGGGAUGGCAGACCAUGUAUCCUGUGCCUCAAUCACAGGUGCGUGGACUCCUGGUGACCCGGCCGGCUGCUCGACGGUAUGACCAGAGGAGUCGAUCCGCUGAAUGGGAAACACUAUGGUUGUGUAGCGUCCGGCCCGGCGCCGACACGUGCGGAGAAUGUGGUGUAUACCGGGGGUGUCCGUGCAGAAGCACGGCCCCGGCUCCGCUGCGCUGUUGGAUCCGUCGGUGUCCUCGGACUGGAUCAGCACUCCCGUCGGCGACGCCCACCUUCGGAUGGUCUCC
This 537-nucleotide ribosomal RNA is filed under the name Cigarrophasma tessellatum. Its description in RNAcentral is "partial large subunit ribosomal RNA". The record is from RNAcentral. Lineage: Eukaryota; Metazoa; Arthropoda; Insecta; Phasmatodea; Phasmatidae.